GAUGAACGUUGGCGGCGUGCCUAAUACAUGCAAGUCGAACGAAGACUGUAGUAAUACUGUCUUAGUGGCGAACGGGUGAGUAACGCGUGGGUGACCUGCCCCGAAGUGUGGGAUAACAGUUCGAAAGAACUGCUAAUACCGCAUAAUAUCCAAGAGAUUAGACGCUUUUGGAUUAAAGGAGAAAUUCGCUUCGGGAGGGGCCCGCGUCCCAUCAGCUAGUUGGUAAGGUAAUGGCUUACCAAGGCGAUGACGGGUAGGGGACCUGAGAGGGUGGCCCCCCACAAUGGAACUGAAACACGGUCCAUACACCUACGGGUGGCAGCAGUAGGGAAUAUUAGUAAUGGGCGAAAGCCUGAACUAGCAACGCCGCGUGUGCGAAGAAGGCCUUCGGGUUGUAAAGCACUUUUUGAGAGGAUGAGGAAGACGGUACUCUCAGAAUAAGUCUCGGCUAACUACGUG
RNAcentral lists this ribosomal RNA (459 nucleotides) under uncultured bacterium. Its description in RNAcentral is "bacterial SSU rRNA". It matches the Rfam family "Bacterial small subunit ribosomal RNA", at positions 28 to 507 of the family's 1533-position model. The record is from RNAcentral.